AGAGUUUGAUCCUGGCUCAGAUUAAACGCUGGCGGCAUGCCUUACACAUGCAAGUCGAACGGCAGCGACGGGGGCAACCCUGGUGGCGAGUGGCGAACGGGUGAGUAAAGCAUCGGAACGUGCCCUGGAGUGGGGGAUAACGUAGCGAAAGUUACGCUAAUACCGCAUAUUCUGUGAGCAGGAAAGCAGGGGAUCGCAAGACCUUGCGCUCUGGGAGCGGCCGAUGUCGGAUUAGCUAGUUGGUGGGGUAAAGGCCUACCAAGGCGACGAUCCGUAGCGGGUCUGAGAGGAUGAUCCGCCACACUGGGACUGAGACACGGCCCAGACUCCUACGGGAGGCAGCAGGUGGGGUAAUUUUGGACAAUGGGCGAAAGCCUGAUCCAGCCAUGCCGCGUGAGUGAAGAAGGCCUUCGGGUUGUAAAGCUCUUUCGGUGGGGAAGAAAUUGCAUGGGCUAAUACCCUGUGUAGAUGACGGUACCUGGAGAAGAAGCACCGGCUAACUACGUG
Molecule: ribosomal RNA, 507 nt
Filed under: uncultured bacterium
Lineage: Bacteria
Description: bacterial SSU rRNA
Rfam family: Bacterial small subunit ribosomal RNA
Source: RNAcentral